UCCAGACUCCUACGGGAGGCAGCAGUGGGGAAUAUUGCACAAUGGGGGGAACCCUGAUGCAGCAAUGCCGCGUGAAGGAUGAAGGUUUUCGGAUUGUAAACUUCUUUUGUACGGGACGAAGAAAGUGACGGUACCGUAAGAAUAAGCCACGGCUAACUACGUGCCAGCAGCCGCGGUAAUACGUAGGUGGCAAGCGUUAUCCGGAUUUACUGGGUGUAAAGGGCGUGUAGGCGGGACUGCAAGUCAGAUGUGAAAAUUAUGGGCUCAACCCAUAACCUGCAUUUGAAACUGUAGUUCUUGAGUGAUGGAGAGGCAGGCGGAAUUCCGUGUGUAGCGGUGAAAUGCGUAGAUAUACGGAGGAACACCAGUGGCGAAGGCGGCCUGCUGGACAUUAACUGACGCUGAGGCGCGAAAGCGUGGGGAGCAAACAGGAUUAGAUACCCGUGUAGU
Molecule: ribosomal RNA, 450 nt
Filed under: uncultured bacterium
Lineage: Bacteria
Description: partial 16S ribosomal RNA
Rfam family: Bacterial small subunit ribosomal RNA
Source: RNAcentral